RNAcentral lists this transfer RNA (70 nucleotides) under Phrynosoma platyrhinos (Desert horned lizard). Its description in RNAcentral is "tRNA-OTHER". Lineage: Eukaryota; Metazoa; Chordata; Lepidosauria; Squamata; Phrynosomatidae. The record is from RNAcentral.
GCCAGUGUAGCAUAGUGGUUUGAGUGUUGGACUACAAGUCUGGAGACCAGGGUUCAAUUCUCCAUUGGGC